This 1449-nucleotide long non-coding RNA is filed under the name Malus domestica (apple). Its description in RNAcentral is "long non-coding RNA (MDOM_LNC003162)". The record is from RNAcentral. Lineage: Eukaryota; Viridiplantae; Streptophyta; Magnoliopsida; Rosales; Rosaceae.
UUAGGGUAAAUUAUCAAUAUAUUUUUUCAUUCAUUACGAAUUGCAACUCGACGAAGUAUUACUAACAUCAUCAUGAGAAAACCACCCAUCAAAACAAUAUGCCAAAAACAGCAAAAAAAGUAAAGGGAAAAGAAAAUCCUGCAAGCAAUUUCACAUCAUUUUUGAGAUUAGUGAGAGGAAUUAGAGAGGGGUUUUGCCAAGCAUGUUGGUGUUUCCUCUCCAGGCAUUACGACAACAACACUUGGCUCUGCAGAGUCUGCUCCUGCUCUUUCUCUUGCAUCACUACUGCUGCUUGAGAUGGACACAAAUUUCUGACAGGCACAGGUUAAAAUCAGCAGCACUAACCCAACAAGUGCCGCGACUAGGGCAGCACUGAGGCACGCCAUCGCCUGUCUGAAGCGACCGCUCUCCGUGGUGGCGGGGUAAAAUGUUGCAGGGAACAUUGCUCUGUCACACUCCUCUAGCUAGCUUAUUCGAUCGGAUGAGAACAAAUAAUUAAGUUUGAUUAUUGAUCUACAAAGUUAUAAAUAUGGACUCGCUUUGUACAAAGGGUGUUGCAUUAUUAAUGCUAUUUAUAGUUAGGUUUCUAAUUUCAUAUAUUAGCUAAAUGAUAAUGCGAUGGAGGCUAAAUUAUUAACCCAAAUUUGUAAAUCAAAUUAUGUGUUAUCAAUAAAAAAUAAGCACAUUAAUCAACACUUAAGUAAUAAUUCAAUCAUCAACAUCCACAUUAUUUGGUUUAGAAAUUUGGUCUCUCUAACAUUACUCUUAGCCAAAGGUGUAUGAGCUUUCAUCAAUUAGGUAGGAGUAUGUAGUGCCCACCAUGUGUUAGGUGAUAGUUUGCAUAUUUGGAAGAUUUUACUGAAGCUCAUAAAAAUAGCUAAAAUUAAUUUGUCAUUAAUUAGGUAGGAAAAAUAUCCAAAUUAUAUUCAUUGGGAUUUAUCGUCUUUAAAUAGGGUUCUUUUAGUUUAUAAAAUUAUAGAGUACAGAUUACCACAUAAAGAAAAUGGUAAGUUAUCAGUUUGGAUUUUUCACGAAUGAAGUUCAGUCCUUGCUAACCUCUCUCAGCAGCAACCGAACACAUCAAUGGGAGGAGUCGACACCUAAUUCAGAGGUAUUUCUACAUUUGUUGAUGGAUGGGUUGGACGGAAAGGCAAAGAGAUACGUGCUUAGGAGCGGGUCGGGUUUGGGACCUCGGGGCAUCUUCUACAUCUAACUCCCAGACUCCAAGUGGGACGUCUUCCAGACUGCAACAUUUGGAGAUGGAGUUAUUAGCCUUACCAACGAGAAAAAGAAUCUCGGGAAGAAGCAUCGUACCAACGAGAGAAGGAUUUUCGGUGCUACAUUGCUGGCAAGGCCCAUGCAAUGGCAGCCUUUGGCACUCGCCUUCCUGAUCCUCCGAGCCACCUUCAACCGUCUUCCCACCAACAACCCUAGUUAGUUUAGGAUUAU